This 793-nucleotide ribosomal RNA is filed under the name Alteromonas genovensis. RNAcentral describes it as "bacterial SSU rRNA". It matches the Rfam family "Bacterial small subunit ribosomal RNA", at positions 53 to 854 of the family's 1533-position model. Lineage: Bacteria; Pseudomonadati; Pseudomonadota; Gammaproteobacteria; Alteromonadales; Alteromonadaceae. The record is from RNAcentral.
CCAUGCAAGUCGAACGGUAGCAGGAAGUGCUUGCACUUUGCUGACGAGUGGCGGACGGGUGAGUAAUGCUUGGGAACUUGCCUUUGCGAGGGGGAUAACAGUUGGAAACGACUGCUAAUACCGCAUAAUGUCUACGGACCAAACGGGGCUUAGGCUUCGGCGCAGAGAGAGGCCCAAGUGAGAUUAGCUAGUUGGUGGGGUAAAGGCUCACCAAGGCGACGAUCUCUAGCUGUUCUGAGAGGAAGAUCAGCCACACUGGGACUGAGACACGGCCCAGACUCCUACGGGAGGCAGCAGUGGGGAAUAUUGCACAAUGGGGGAAACCCUGAUGCAGCCAUGCCGCGUGUGUGAAGAAGGCCUUCGGGUUGUAAAGCACUUUCAGUUGUGAGGAAAAGUGAGUAGUUAAUACCUGCUCACCGUGACGUUAACAACAGAAGAAGCACCGGCUAACUCCGUGCCAGCAGCCGCGGUAAUACGGAGGGUGCGAGCGUUAAUCGGAAUUACUGGGCGUAAAGCGCACGCAGGCGGUUUGUUAAGCUAGAUGUGAAAGCCCCGAGCUCAACUUGGGAUGGUCAUUUAGAACUGGCAGACUAGAGUCUUGGAGAGGGGAGUGGAAUUCCAGGUGUAGCGGUGAAAUGCGUAGAUAUCUGGAGGAACAUCAGUGGCGAAGGCGACUCCCUGGCCAAAGACUGACGCUCAUGUGCGAAAGUGUGGGUAGCGAACAGGAUUAGAUACCCUGGUAGUCCNCCGNAACCUGUCCACAACUGNUUGGACUUAANCCGGANACGAACUA